CUAUUUUUACAUAUUGAUUUUCUCUGAUAUUCCUGCCAGUAUCGUAGUCUGUUUCAUAGUAAUACAAGUUAAAAGUUUCUUUACAAGUCCCCAGAACUCCAGGAAGACUGUUACAAUCCCUCAGAGUGAAUUUCAGUUCUACAAAAAUCCUUUGUGCAUUGCUUUUUGCAAUCCAGUUAGUCCGAAGCCAGUUGUUUUGAUUCGAUUCCAUGACCUGGCAUACCUGGUAUGUUCGUAUAGGAGUGUAGUUUUCAUCCAGUCCACUAAUUUCUUCCCACCCAUUGGGAGGAGAGGAAAUCCAUUCCAACUCUGUCUGUUGUGCUUUAGAGUCCAGUAAUAUAACUUCUUUCGCAGCCUGUGCCUCCCCCGUGUGUGCAAAGCGGAGCAGCCAGACGGAGCACAACAUAAUCCAAGGAGGGAGCCGACUUCGCAAAACCAUGGUGCAGAAGCGGAGAAAUGUUAUCUUUCUCGCUCCCUAUUUCUAGACGCCGCCGCCGCCGCUUGGUGGGUGCGAGAGGACGGUGGCGAAUUUGCUCUGCGAGUCCCCGGCCCGGCGCUCGCUCCCUCCCUCCCAGCUGCCUUUCUCUUUCUCCUCCUCCUGCUCCUUCUCCCGCCUCCUCCACCGCGCUGCUGCUCAGCUCCGACUCCCGCACCGGGCCGCCCGCCCGCGAGCCCCGAC
This 679-nucleotide long non-coding RNA is filed under the name Gallus gallus (chicken). The record is from RNAcentral. Lineage: Eukaryota; Metazoa; Chordata; Aves; Galliformes; Phasianidae.